RNAcentral lists this unclassified non-coding RNA (157 nucleotides) under uncultured fungus. RNAcentral describes it as "sequence contains ITS1, 5.8S rRNA gene". Lineage: Eukaryota; Fungi. The record is from RNAcentral.
CAGAGAUCAUGCCCUCACGGGUAGACCUCCCACCCUGUGUUAUUUACUAUUGUUGCUUUGGCAGGCCGCCUUCGGGCUCUCGGCUCCGGCUGAGGUGCGCCUGCCAGAGGACCCCAACUCUGUGUUUAGUGUCGUCUGAGUACUAUAUAAUAAGUUA